UGGGAUUUCGAGAACUGACACUGGUAGUCAGUAUUGUGGGUAAAGAAUUGGCACUGGUAGCCAUAUUGUGGGAUUUCGAGAACUGACACUGGUAGUCAGUAUUGUGGGAAGAGAAUUGGUACGAGUAGCCAUAUUGUGGGUAAUUUCGAGAAUUGGCAUUGGUAGUCAUAUUGUGGGUAAUUUCGAGAAUUGGCAUUGGUAGCCAUAUUGUGGGUAAUUUCGAGAAUUGACAUUGGUAGCCAUAUUGUUGUGGGUGUAUUCGAGAUCGGUUCUUACAGUGCAGUAAGAAUUCGAUAACAAAUAUAUGAGCUGUUUUAUCCUGGGACAGCGUGGUUGAUAGUCUGCUUGCACAUUUUGGGCAGUGCCACGAAACGUCUUAAAGAAAGCGACCUGAUCGUUACUCAACCAGUAAGUAUUAUUUCGUGCCAUUUAGAAUUGCUGCAAGCUACGGUAACAAUAACUAUCAUACUCCACCAUAAGGAGUAUACCCACAACACACACCUUACAUCAAUGCUAACUAAUGUUUGUGUCACAUAUUUGCAUCCAACUCGAUGCCCAUGUCACACUUUUGCAUCUCUACCAAUGCUCAUGUUACACCUUGCAUCAAAGCCAAUGCCCAUGCUACACCGUACAUCAAAGUUAGACAACACCUCUGUGCUUUUACGGAUCUGCUAACAAUUAAUAUCAAUCACUAUGACAUGCUAGACAUGUCAUUGGGAUAUUUCACUUCUCAUCUCAAAUGAUAAUAUUCUCUCAACAUCUAGAGAGAUAUUGUCAGCAUCUGUCUCUGGGUCAAACUCAACACAUGAGUCCCUAUUUCCACAUUCAUCCUAAUCCAAUACAUGAAUUUCUGGGAUUCUGGAUCAACAUAUAUCGCCCCCAUAACAGUUUCGCUAUGUUUUCUUCUCCUUCAACUUAUCUACUCUAUCUUUGUCACUACCUUUCACACACCUUGUCUAGCCAUUACAUUUUCCCCUUCUUUAGCAAUUAUCUGUUGUCUGGGUUACGAGUCAUAGUCAUCUAUCAAUUGGCUAUGAUAUCAAUUGUUGGUGCAACAAAAACGAUUGUUAUGCAGCAUUGGCCAGAAGCAAUCAAAUAAAGUGCAUAGAAUAAAUAGAAGAGAAGAAACAAGAGAAUUUGGUAACAGAGUUCAGCCAAUUGUGCCUACAUCCCCGAGAAUACUGAGCGGC
Molecule: long non-coding RNA, 1190 nt
Filed under: Lupinus angustifolius (narrow-leaved blue lupine)
Lineage: Eukaryota; Viridiplantae; Streptophyta; Magnoliopsida; Fabales; Fabaceae
Description: long non-coding RNA (LANG_LNC001298)
Source: RNAcentral